This 708-nucleotide long non-coding RNA is filed under the name Equus caballus (horse). RNAcentral's name for it is "lncRNA (ENSECAG00000059726.1)". Lineage: Eukaryota; Metazoa; Chordata; Mammalia; Perissodactyla; Equidae. The record is from RNAcentral.
CAGAAGCCAAAGUCAAGAAUCGCUGAAAUGUUAGGCAUGAACUCAAAAGAUAGAAUGGAAUACAGAAAAAGCUACCUGUGUGGAAUGAAAAGCAGAAUUUCCUUAUGUUCGGGCUCUGCUCCUUCUUCAGAACUUGUUUGAGAAGAAGAGAACCAAUUAUGCUAUCAAACGCUGACAUUUCUUGAUGACAAUGUUUCUGGAAGCAUAGUGUAAGAUGACUAGCUGGAUGAGCUCUGUCUUCCCUUCUUUACCUGAGAUUUCUUGCCGGUAUCUCACAUACCGACAGCAUAAGCAGAUGCAUGGAAAGAUGCAGGUAUCAUUAUUCAUCAUGUGUUGGAAACAUAACUGCCAGAAGUUUGGCUUAAACCUGGGGAGACUGCACCUACCAUCAUUCUGGGGGAAGUCAUGUUGUCUUCCUGUUAAGAGCGCGUCAGCGCUCAAAUUGCUUGGCCUGUCCAAUGGCAUGUUUAGAGGCCUUCCACAUGUCUCUUAGGGUCUCCUCCCAACCCCGUUCCAGUGCAGAAGCAGUUUUGAAAGAGAGAUGAAAACUGUCCUUUCUUGCUUCCUGCUCCCAGAUUUUGAGAAGUCCCCUCAAAUGGCCUUUUUAAACUCUUUUUACCAUCACCAUGGGACUGCUACAGCUUCAUUAAGAUGUGUUAGUUAAGCAUCCUGAUUGAUAGAUAUGCUGUAGAGUGAGUUAAAUCACAC